CCUANGGGUGGCAGCAGUGGGGAAUUUUGGACAAUGGGGGCAACCCUGAUCCAGCCAUGCCGCGUGCGGGAAGAAGGCCUUCGGGUUGUAAACCGCUUUUGUCCGGGAAGAAAUGGCAUCCCCUAAUACGGGGUGUUCCUGACGGUACCGGAAGAAUAAGCACCGGCUAACUACGUGCCAGCAGCCGCGGUAAUACGUAGGGUGCGAGCGUUAAUCGGAAUUACUGGGCGUAAAGCGUGCGCAGGCGGUUCGCUAAGUCUGAUGUGAAAGCCCCGGGCUCAACCUGGGAACUGCAUUGGAAACUGGCGAGCUUGAGUGUGGCAGAGGGGGGUGGAAUUCCACGUGUAGCAGUGAAAUGCGUAGAGAUGUGGAGGAACACCGAUGGCGAAGGCAGCCCCCUGGGCUAACACUGACGCUCAGGCACGAAAGCGUGGGGAGCAAACAGGAUUAGAUACCCCGNUANUC
RNAcentral lists this ribosomal RNA (465 nucleotides) under uncultured bacterium. RNAcentral's name for it is "bacterial SSU rRNA". It matches the Rfam family "Bacterial small subunit ribosomal RNA", at positions 338 to 795 of the family's 1533-position model. The record is from RNAcentral.